This 246-nucleotide ribosomal RNA is filed under the name uncultured bacterium. Its description in RNAcentral is "partial 16S ribosomal RNA". It matches the Rfam family "Bacterial small subunit ribosomal RNA", at positions 1254 to 1500 of the family's 1533-position model. The record is from RNAcentral.
GCCGCGAGGUGGAGCGAAUCUCCAAAAAUUGUCCCAGUUCAGAUUGCAGGCUGCAACUCGCCUGCAUGAAGUCGGAAUUGCUAGUAAUCGUGGAUCAGCAUGCCACGGUGAAUACGUUCCCGGGCCUUGUACACACCGCCCGUCACACCAUGGGAGUCGGUAACACCCGAAGCCUGUAGUCUAACCGCAAGGAGGACGCAGUCGAAGGUGGGAUUGAUGACUGGGGUGAAGUCGUAACAAGGUAAC